AGAGUGAACGCUGGCGGCAGGCCUAACACAUGCAAGUCGAACGGCAGCACAGCAGAGCUUGCUCUGUGGGUGGCGAGUGGCGGACGGGUGAGGAUAACGUCGGAAUCUGCCUAUUUGUGGGGGAUAACGUAGGGAAACUUACGCUAAUACCGCAUACGACCUACGGGUGAAAGCGGAGGACCUUCGGGCUUCGCGCAGAUAGAUGAGCCGACGUCGGAUUAGCUAGUUGGCGGGGUAAAGGCCCACCAAGGCGACGAUCCGUAGCUGGUCUGAGAGGAUGAUCAGCCACACUGGAACUGAGACACGGUCCAGACUCCUACGGGAGGCAGCAGUGGGGGAAUAUUGGACAAUGGGCGCAAGCCUGAUCCAGCCAUGCCGCGUGUGUGAAGAAGGCCUGGUCGGUAAGU
This 407-nucleotide ribosomal RNA is filed under the name uncultured soil bacterium. RNAcentral's name for it is "bacterial SSU rRNA". It matches the Rfam family "Bacterial small subunit ribosomal RNA", at positions 26 to 431 of the family's 1533-position model. The record is from RNAcentral.